GGCAUAGUUACUGGACACUCGGUAGUGCCUGAGCUUCACAACAGAUCUGAGGAUGCACGUUUCGCUUGAAUUGGUUUGAUGCUACCACUGAUAUCGAAGGGGUUUGUAAAUAAUAGUAUUGGCCCUAGAAGAACUACAGAGCUUGAGAUUGUAAAUAACAGAGAAAGCUCAAUGAUGGAUGCUCACCAUAAGUUUGUCAAUAACAGCAAUAAAGAUCGGACCAUUGGGAAUCAUUUUGAAGACAGUCAUGGGUUUUUAUUGAAGAAGGUAACUAAUAGCAACCCUUAAUAAAGUUUUUCUAGGGUAGUUAAAAAAAGUGCUCAUCGAUUGCAUAUGAUUUGAUAGUGGAUACUAAAGUUAACAUGUUUGUGUUAUGUGCAGUUAUUCUUUUAUUCUCCUGGAAGGUUGAUUAACCAAUGUUGAUAUUGUGAAUGGAGUGUAGAUGUACUGAGUGAGCGAGAGCUUGAUUGUGAACCAAAUUAUGGGUAUAUGCAUGCUUAAGGGUUGCCAGUUUCCUCCUAGUUACUUUGUAAAUAACAGGCUCGUAUCUGUACAUAUGGCCUUUUUAAUAGUGGAUAUGUUGGGAAUACAAACCCAUAGUGUCUCAAGUAUGCUUGUGUAGACACUCGAACAAUUGGCUGGUGUGCUGACUCGACUGGAAUCUCGACUGAGUGACGUGAGCCUACUUCAGUUCUAGCUUGAUGUCAAUAGGCUCUAUAGCAACUAUAAUUUGUCUCACAUACCAUAUAUAGUUCGAGCGGACUUCCAUUCUGGCUCGAUGUUAAUAGGCUCUAUAGAUUUUGUAAUUUGUCUCACAUAUCAUAUAUAAUUUGUCAAUUUGCGAUCAUUUGACAACGUGUGGCUUAAUUGAUAAAACACCAAGUUAAAUCUAAAAUGUAGAAUACAGUAUAAUUAAAUUCUUGGCUCUA
RNAcentral lists this long non-coding RNA (929 nucleotides) under Linum usitatissimum (flax). RNAcentral describes it as "long non-coding RNA (LUSI_LNC002329)". The record is from RNAcentral. Lineage: Eukaryota; Viridiplantae; Streptophyta; Magnoliopsida; Malpighiales; Linaceae.